UCCGUAGGGGAACCUGCGGAGGGAUCAUUACUGAGU
RNAcentral lists this ribosomal RNA (36 nucleotides) under Colletotrichum sp. Col-68. Its description in RNAcentral is "partial 18S ribosomal RNA". Lineage: Eukaryota; Fungi; Ascomycota; Sordariomycetes; Glomerellales; Glomerellaceae. The record is from RNAcentral.